UGGGGUAGAGCUCAGUGGUAGAGUGUGUGCUUAGCAUGCAUGAGGUCCUGGGUUUAAUUCCCAAUAUCUCCA
This 72-nucleotide transfer RNA is filed under the name Camelus bactrianus (Bactrian camel). It matches the Rfam family "tRNA". Rfam says of the family: Transfer RNA (tRNA) molecules are approximately 80 nucleotides in length. Their secondary structure includes four short double-helical elements and three loops (D, anti-codon, and T loops). Further hydrogen bonds mediate the characteristic L-shaped molecular structure. tRNAs have two regions of fundamental functional importance: the anti-codon, which is responsible for specific mRNA codon recognition, and the 3' end, to which the tRNAs corresponding amino acid is attached (by aminoacyl-tRNA synthetases). tRNAs cope with the degeneracy of the genetic code in two manners: having more than one tRNA (with a specific anti-codon) for a particular amino acid; and 'wobble' base-pairing, i.e. permitting non-standard base-pairing at the 3rd anti-codon position. Lineage: Eukaryota; Metazoa; Chordata; Mammalia; Artiodactyla; Camelidae. RNAcentral also lists the same sequence under 1 other name. The record is from Rfam by way of RNAcentral.